This 233-nucleotide unclassified non-coding RNA is filed under the name uncultured Nitrospiraceae bacterium. RNAcentral's name for it is "contains 16S-23S intergenic spacer region". Lineage: Bacteria; Pseudomonadati; Nitrospirota; Nitrospiria; Nitrospirales; Nitrospiraceae. The record is from RNAcentral.
UCCCCGUUAUCCUGGGCUUUCACCCUUCUACUACCUGCAUGUCCAGCCUGGGUAAGGUUCUUCGCGUUGCGUCGAAUUAAACCACAUGCUCCACCGCUUGUGCGGGCCCCCGUCAAUUCCUUUGAGUUUCAACCUUGCGGCCGUACUUCCCAGGCGGAAUACUUAAUGCGUUAGCUGCGGCACCGGCGGUAACCCGCCGACACUUAGUAUUCAUAGUUUAAGGCGUGGACUAC